This 253-nucleotide ribosomal RNA is filed under the name uncultured bacterium. RNAcentral describes it as "partial 16S ribosomal RNA". It matches the Rfam family "Bacterial small subunit ribosomal RNA", at positions 524 to 776 of the family's 1533-position model. The record is from RNAcentral.
UACGUAGGGGGCGAGCGUUAUUCGGAAUUAUUGGGCGUAAAGAGCGUGUAGGCGGCCUGAAAGGUCAGCUGUGAAAACUCGAGGCUCAACCUCGAGACGUCGGUUGAAACCAUCUGGCUAGAGUCCGGAAGAGGAGUGUGGAAUUCCCGGUGUAGCGGUGAAAUGCGCAGAUAUCGGGAAGAACACCCGUGGCUAAGGCGGCUCUCUAGUACGGUACUGACGCUGAGACGCGAAAGCGUGGGGAGCGAACAGG